This is an RNA transcript of Mus musculus (house mouse), 1062 nucleotides long. It is a transcript of the gene named predicted gene 13884, with no coding region annotated. Lineage: Eukaryota; Metazoa; Chordata; Mammalia; Rodentia; Muridae. The transcript has a single exon. The record is from RefSeq and is marked validated.
AUGGCGGAGGCGCUGAGGCGGGUGCUGGAUGCCGGCUGGGCGGCAAGGCCUGGAGAGGAUGGCGUUGCCUGGCCGCCAUUGCUGUUGCUCGGCGCUCCGCGCUCUGCGCAGACGUCGCUGCUGUUUGCAGCCGCCCUUGAGGCGGCAGGGGAAGGCUGCGGGUCUGUCCUCUUCGUGAUGCGAAGGCCCCUUCAGAGCCUGCCGCUCAGUACACCCACAGCGCGAGAGUAUUGGCGGCUCCAGAAGGUUCGAUUCCAGUACCCAUCCUCAAUUCAAGAGCUUCUCCAGCUGCUGGCCUCUGCCCAUGAAGCCCCAGCACCAACUCCAUCCCUUCUACUCCUGGACGGCCUGGAAGAAUAUCUCGCAGAGGAUCCCAGUGCCCAGGAAGCCGCCUACUUGGCUGCAUUGUUUCUGGAUACUGCUGCCUUCUUUAGCCACCCUCUUGGAGCCAAUGGCAGUUGUGGGCUUGUGUGCCCUUGAAACCCAGAAAGAAGCAGAGGCCGAUGCCCCACAUCUGGCAUUACUUAAGCGGUAUUUUCCUGCACAGUGCUGGUUGCAGCCAGAUGCAACAAUGCUUGGGACAGCAUUGCUGCCUUCGAGCCAGCCUAGAGUUGGGCAAACUGAGCCCUAGGACAGAGUGGUCAGUGAGUUUCUUACCCUGUGGAGAGAUGAAGGUCACCCCAUGGCUUGCCCAGGCUUCUAAGCUCAGCCCAGAGAAAAAAGGUUCAAGUGCUGCCAGUCCUUAACUUUGGGAUGUGACAACCUCCCUGGUCCUGGGUCUCCCUUGGAUGGGAUACUUACUUCAGAGACAGGUGCAGAUUCAAAGACCUGAAAAAUGUAGAUUUUCUUUUUAGAAACUAGCAUUAUUGUCAUCAGGGCUGGCAAGAUCCCUUGGCAACGGGCACGAUAAUUUGACUGAUUCCCGGGACCCUCGUGGUAGAAAGAUAGAACUGACUCCUGCAAGUUGUCUUCUGACCUCCACAUUUGGGUGGAAGCACACAGUCCUACACACUAAUGAUAAAUUAGUAAUGAGACCUUUAAGAUAAGUAAGGCCAGCAGAGC